UGAGGAAUAUUGGUCAAUGGACGAAAGUCUGAACCAGCCAUGCCGCGUGCAGGAUGAAUGCCCUACGGGUUGUAAACUGCUUUUCUACAAGAAGAAACCCCUUAACGUGUUGAGGGCUGACGGUAUUGUAGGAAUAAGCAUCGGCUAACUCCGUGCCAGCAGCCGCGGUAAUACGGAGGAUGCAAGCGUUAUCCGGAUUCAUUGGGUUUAAAGGGUGCGUAGGCGGGACAGUAAGUCAGUGGUGAAAGCCUGCGGCUUAACCGUAGAAUUGCCAUUGAUACUGUUGUUCUUGAGUGUAGUUGAGGUAGGCGGAAUGUGUAAUGUAGCGGUGAAAUGCUUAGAUAUUACACAGAACACCGAUUGCGUAGGCAGCUUACUAAACUAUUACUGACGCUGAGGCACGAAAGCGUGGGGAGCGAACA
Molecule: ribosomal RNA, 422 nt
Filed under: uncultured bacterium
Lineage: Bacteria
Description: bacterial SSU rRNA
Rfam family: Bacterial small subunit ribosomal RNA
Source: RNAcentral